GACAAACAUCUAACAACUAUUUCAUAACUUUUGAUAUGCUUUUAUCAAUUCCUCCACUAUUUUAUCAAUUCUGAUAUUAUUUCAUGACAUCCGAUGCCACUAUUUUAUGACUUCCUCCACUAAUUUAUGACUUCUAGCACUGUUUCCUAUUUGAUUCACCAUUUUAUGAACUCUAUCAAUAUUUUAUGACUUCCGACACUGAUUCAUGACUUUCAACAUUCUUUUAUGACUUUUUAUUCUAUUUUAUGACUUUCUUCACUCUUUCAUGACAUCCGACAAUG
RNAcentral lists this long non-coding RNA (281 nucleotides) under Elaeis guineensis (African oil palm). RNAcentral's name for it is "long non-coding RNA (EGUI_LNC080185)". The record is from RNAcentral. Lineage: Eukaryota; Viridiplantae; Streptophyta; Magnoliopsida; Arecales; Arecaceae.